RNAcentral lists this small nuclear RNA (121 nucleotides) under Rhinopithecus bieti (black snub-nosed monkey). RNAcentral describes it as "U5 spliceosomal RNA (ENSRBIG00000022754.1)". It matches the Rfam family "U5 spliceosomal RNA". Rfam says of the family: U5 RNA is a component of both types of known spliceosome. The precise function of this molecule is unknown, though it is known that the 5' loop is required for splice site selection and p220 binding, and that both the 3' stem-loop and the Sm site are important for Sm protein binding and cap methylation. Lineage: Eukaryota; Metazoa; Chordata; Mammalia; Primates; Cercopithecidae. The record is from Rfam by way of RNAcentral.
CGGCCCUGGUUUUUCUUCAUAACGAAUAAAUUUUUCACCUUUUACUAAAGAUUUCCGUGGGGGAGGAGCUAAUUGUGAGUUUGUCACCGAAUUUUUUGGUAUGUCCUGCUCAGGCAGGACU